Sapajus apella (tufted capuchin) is the source of this 1671-nucleotide long non-coding RNA. RefSeq lists it as uncharacterized. The transcript has 2 exons. NCBI's taxonomy places the organism in Eukaryota, Metazoa, Chordata, Mammalia, Primates, Cebidae. The record is from RefSeq and is a predicted model, not a curated record.
GUGAGCUGAGAUCGCACCACUGUACUCCAGCCUGGGUGACAGUACAAGACUGUCUUAAAAAAAAAAAAAAAAAAAAAACAUAAGUUAGGCUUUGUAUUACCACUAAGGGGAAAAGUUGCUGGAAUAUUUUGAGGAAAUGUGUUAGAAACAGUAGGGUGCAAAGGUAGAAGCAGAGACAGGUAAAAUGCACAGCAGGAGACAGUGGCAGCCAGCAAGAUAACAGAAGUGGUUGGAUUCUGGCUGCAUUUGAAGGCUAAACUAGCAGGAUUUGCGGACAAGUUGGAUAUGUGGUGUUAAGAAGAGGAGUCAUGAACCAUCUAUUGUUUUGUGUCUGCGCAACUAGCAGCUUGUAGUUGCCAUGCCUGAAAUGGAAAGGAGUACACCCGGAGUGUGAGGUGCUGCGUGGGCAAUUAGUCGAGAUGGCGUAGAGGCAGCUGGAUAGAUGAGUGCAGACUUUAGGCGAGAGGUUGUCAGUGUAUAAAUGGCAUUUAAAGUCAUGAAACCCAGUAAAAUUACCUAGGGUCUAAGUACCGAUAAAAAGCUAUGCAAGAAAUGAGUCCUUGGGAACCACCAACAUUUGAGAGAGAGAGGAAGAACCAGCAAAGGAGACUCAGCAAAAACAGCCAGCAAGAGUGAGGCAAGGUGGCUCUGAAGCCAGCACAUUUCAACGACAAGAGAGAGAGCAACUGGAUCAAAGGCUGCUGUGCCUCAGUUAAGAUGAGUGCUGCAAACUGGCCUUGGUUUAGCUGCGUUGAAGCACAGCGACCUUGACAAGAACAGUUUCUGAAAACUUGGUAUGGGUGGUCACAAGAAAGCCUGAGAGUCAGAGCUGGAGAUGGUGUUACAGAAAGCUUUUCUUGAGAGCACAAAGAAAUGGUCUGUAGAUUCACUGCAAUGUAGGGUCAAGGAAGCUAUUUGUGGUCCCAUGGGAGUGAUCUAGGAGAAGAGCAGGGAACCACAGCCAGGUGUCGCCGAGGGAACACAGAAUCCAGUUGAAGAGGGAAGGGCCAGCCUGAGACAGCAACACCAGCAGGAAGGAAAGCGCUCAGAGUCCCAGCACAGGCAGGCAUUCACAGCGUGCGUAAGCUCUGUGCUGAUCACUUACAUGUUCUCAGUGUUUAGGCAAUGAGACCUCAAUUGACAGAAUGGGGUUGGGGGAAUAUUAAAGUUUUGGGGAGAGAAGAGAAGAUAUAAGGCAAUAUUCUAGAAGGGUAGGAAAAUUAAAGGACCAGAAAAAUGUAACAGGUUGGCCAGGUAGCACUGAUGAGCCCUUGAAGUAGGUGGUCAUGAGCUUAAAGUGAGACUUGUCAGCAUGGUUUUAUGUUUUUCCUGUAGCCACUUUCAGUUAUAUGAGUACAGGCAUGAAGUGGACCACUGGUUCUCAGCAGGGUAAGUUUGUCUCCCACUGCAGACAUUUGGCAAUGCUUGGAGACGUUUCUGGUUCCUAGGGGCAUCUAAUGGGUAGUGGCCAAGGAUGUUGUUAAAUAUCAAACAGUGCACUGGAUAGACUCCCACAACACAGUUACAUAGCUCAAAACAUCAGUAGAGCCAUUGUCAAGAAACAGAAGGAGACAGAGAAUUAAUAAGUGUUUUGCCAGGUGUGUAUGACAAAGAGGGAACUGUGCAAGUGAGGGGACUGUGGGAUAUAGCUGGGUAAGGAGGGAAGUGAGG